AUUAAGGGUAGGGAAAUAUCCGAUGGCAUUUGUCAGAUAACUUCCUCUUCCUUUGGAAUGAAAACUUCAACGUUCACUAUCAGAGUGUAUUGUAUUUUUUGUCACAAGAAAUUCCUUUACAAAGACAUAGGAUCAAUCUAUACAACCAUCAAUGGUAAACUGGAUAAAGAAAAUAUGGUGCAUAUAUACCCUGAAAUACGAAACAGCCAUAAAAAAAUGAGAUCAUGUCCUUGGCAGCAACAUGGAUGAAGCUGGAGGCUAUUAUCCUAAGCGAACUAACAUAGGAACAGAAAACCAAAUACCACAUGUUCUCAUUUAUAAAUGGGAGCUAAACACUGAGUACAGAAGAACACAAAGAAGGGAACAACAGACACUGGGGCCUACUUGAGGGCAGAGGAUGGGAGGGUGAAGAUUGAAAAACUACCUGUGCGGUACUGAGAGGUGACAGCUUGCUGGCGGCCCUCACAGCCCUCGCUCGCUCUCGGUGCCUCUUCGGCCUCCGCGCCCACUCUGGCGGCACUUGGGGAGCCCUUCAGCCGGCGGCUGCACUGGGGGAGCCCCUUCCUGGGCUGGCCAAGGCCGGAGCCGGCUCCCUCAGCUUGCCCGGAUGUGAGGAGGGAGAGGCGUAGGCGGGAACCGGGGCUGUGCGUGCCGCUUGUGAGCCAGCGUGAGCUCUGGAUGGGCGUGGGCUCGGCGGGCCCCCACACUCGGAGCAGCCAGCCGGCCCCGCCAGCCGGGCAGUAAGGGGCUUAGCCCCUGGGCCAGCAGCUGCUGUGCUCGACUUCUCACCGGGCCUUAGCUGCCUCCUUUUCUCGCAGGGCCUUAGCUCCUCCUUGCGGGGCAGGGCUUGGGACCUGCAGCCCGCCAUGCCUGAGCCUCACCGCCACCUGCCGUGGGCUGCUGUGCCCCUGGAGCCUCCCGGACGAGCCCCGCCCCCUGCUCCAUGGCACCCAGUCCCAUGGACCACCCAAAGGCUGAGGAGUGCGGGCUCAGGGCUUGGGACUGGCAGGCAGCUCCACCUGUGGCCACCGUGUGGGAUCCACUGGGUGAAGCCAGCUGGGCGUCUGAGUCUGGCGGGGACUUGGAGAACCUUUAUGUCUACCUAAGCCCUAGCCUGACACAGAUAGUAACUGCAAACAGUACUGAUCAAGAGGAACUCCUAUUUUUGAAAGACUUGCCAGCAUCAAAGACCAGUUCUUCAAAUCAACCCAGUCAAAGAAAAUAAAAAAAAUGAAUUCAGAAAGUGAAAACAAAAUCUGGAAUAAAUAUGAGAAUAAGAUACCAAAUCCACAAUUUAUUGCCAUUCCUGAGAGAUAAGAAGAGAGAAUAAACAACUUGAAAAAAUAUAUUUGAGGAUGUAGUCCACAAAAUAUUUCCUAAUUUAGGUAGAUAAGUUGACACGCAAAUCCAAGAAAUACAGAGAACUGCAGUGAGAUACUAUACAAGAUGACCAUCCCCAAGGCACAUAGCCAUCAGAUUUUAAAAAGUCAAUGGAAGAGAAAGAAUCGAAAGACAGCUAGAGAGAAGUGUCACCUACAGAGGGAACCUAAUCAGGCUGGCAGUAGACCUCUCAGCAGAACCCCUACAAGGAAGAAGAGAAUGGGGACCUAUUUUCAUUGUCCUAUAAAAAUAAAAUACAACCAAGAAUUUUAUAUCCUUCCAAACUAAGUUUCAUAAGUGAAGGAGAAACACCGUUCUUCUCAGACAGAAAAAUGCUGAGGGAAUACAAUCCAAACAGACAAGCCUUACAAGAGAUCCUAAAAGAAGUUCUAAACAUAGAAUUGAAAGAACAACAUCUGCUACAAAACACAACAACAAAACAAAAUCACACAUAAGUACAUAGGCCACAGGCACUAGAAAGCAAUUACACAAUCAAGCCAAUAUAAAACAAGCUAACAACAAAAUGACAUCAUCAAAAUGUCACAUAUCAAUACUAACCCUGAAUUUAAAUGGGUUAAAUGCCCCACUUAAAAGACAUAGAGUGGCAAGGUGGAUAAAAAUAUAAGAUGCAACUAUCUUUAAUCUUCAAGAAAAUUUAUAUAUUAACACCCUCAUGCCCAAAAUAAAGGUAUGCAGUAAGAUCUGCCAUGUAAAUGGAAAACAAAAAGAGCAAGAGUCACUAUUCUUAAAUAAUAUGAAACAUAUUUUAGAAGAAUAAAAAUUAAAGAUGGACAAAAAAAGAAACGUUACAUAAUGUAAAGGGUAAAAUCCAACAAGAACACUUUUAUUUAACUAGCCUAAAUACCUAAAUUUCUAUGCACCCAACACUGGAACAUCAAGAUUCAUAAAACAAGUAUUCUUGGACUAUAAAAAGACUUAGAUAAUCACAAAUAUCUGUGACUGGGAGACUUCAACAACCCACUGGCAGUGCCAGGUACAUCAUUGAGGCAGAAAACUGACAAAGAAAUUCUGGACUUAGAUUUGACAUCUGAGCAAAUAGACCUAGUAGACAUCUACAGAACACUCCUCUCAACAUCCACAGAAUGGACAUUCUUCUCAUCUCCACAUAGAAUGUAUUCUAAGAUUGACCACUUUCUUGUUCAUAAACAGUCUCAACAAAUUCAAAACAAUUUGAAUCAUAGCAAGCACACUCUCAAACCAUCGUGCAUUAAAAAUAUAAAUGAAUUUCAAGAAGAUCUCUCAAAAGUACAAAAAUUCACGAAAAUUAAAACAUUUCCCCCUAAAUAACUCAUGGAUGAACCUUGAAAUUAGAGCGGAAAUCAAAAAAUUAUUUGCAUUAAUAGAGACAUAACCUACCAGAACCUCUGAGAUGCAGCUAAAGCAGUGUUAAGAGGAAAGUUUAUAGCCCUAAAAUGCCUUGAUUGAGUGUUAGAAAUAUCUCAAAUUAGUAAUUUAAUUUUGUACCUAUAGGAACUAGGAAAAAAAAGAAGGAAACAACCUAAGAGCUAUCAGAAGAAAACAAAUAACUAAAAUUAGGGAAGAACUGAAUGAAACUGAGAUGCAAAAAUCCAUACAAAAGAUCAAUAAAACCAAGAGUUGUUUUUUCAAAAAAUAAACAAGAUUAAAAGACCCCUACAUAGACUCACAAAAAAAGAGAAGAUCCAAAUAAGUACAAUCAUACCUGAUAAACAUGACAUAACUGAUGCCACAGAAAUACAAAAGAUCCUCAGAAUACUAUGAAUAACUCUAAGCAUACCUAUUAGAAAACCUAGAGAAAAUGGGUAAUUUCCAGAAAGAAUUGCCGAAGAUUUAAUCAGAAAGGGAUUCAAACACUGAGUAGACCAAUAUUGAGCUCUGAAAUUGAAUCAGUAAUAAAAAUUCUACCAACCAAAAAAAGUCCUGAACCAGAUGAAUUCACAGCUGAAUUCUGCCAGGUGUACAAAGAACUGCUACCAAUCCUACUGAAAAUAUUCCAAAAAACUGUGGAGGAGUGGCUUUUCUGUUAUUCUUUCUACGAAGCCAGCAUUAGUCUAACACCAAAAUCUGGCAGACACAAUUAAAAAAAAAGAAAACUUCAGGCCAAUAUUCCUGAAGAACACAGGCACAAUAAUUCUUAGCAAAACACUAGCACACUGAAUGUAGUAUAUUAAAGACUAAAUAUACUACAAUCAAGCAGGAUUUAUUCCUAGGAUGCAAGGCUGGUAAAACAUAUACAAAUCAAUAAAUAUUCACCAUCUAAACAGAAUUAAAAACAAAAACUCUAUGAUCAUCUCAAUAGAUGCAAAGAAAGCUUUCAAUGAUAUCCAAGAUCCAUUCAUAAUAAUAAAAAAAACCUUGAGUGACUAGAAACGUAAGAUCAUAUCUCAAAAUAAUAAUAUCCAUUUAUGACAAACCCACAAGCAACAUCAUACUGAAUGGAUAAACACUGGAAUUAUUUUCUUUGAGAACUGGAACAAGACAAGGAUGCCUCUUUCACCACUCUUAUUCAACAUACUUCUGGAAGUGCUAACCAGAGCAAUCAGAUAAGAGAAAGAAAUAGAAGGCACCCAAAAAGGAAAGGAAGAAGUCAAACUAUCUUCACCAGUUAUAUGAUUCUAUACCUAGAAAAUCCUGAAGACCUUGCCAAAAGGCUACUAGAACUGAUAAAUAAUUUAGUGAGGUUUCAGGAUACAAAAAUCAAUGUAUAAAAGCCAGUAGCAUUUCCAUACACCAACAACAUCCAAGCUGAGGAUCAAAUCAAGAACACAAUCCUACUUACAAUAACCACAAAGACAAUGAAAUACCUAGAAAUACUGAUAAACAAGGAAGUGAAAGAUCUGUACAAGGUGAACUACAAAACACUGCUGAAAGAAAUCAGAGAUGGCACCAAUAAAUGGGAAAACAUCCCAUGCUCAUGGAUUUGAAGAAUCAGUAUCUUUAAAAUUGCUGUAUUAGUGUGUUUGUAUUCUUCUGAUAAAGAUAUACCCAAGACUGGGUAAUUUAUAAAGAAAAACAUGUUUGUUUAAUGGACUCACAGUUCCAUGUGGCUGAGGUGGCCUCAUGGCACAAGGCAAAAGACACUUCUUACAUGGUGACAGGAUGAAACUAGAGAAGAUAAAGUAAGGAACAGAUUCUCUCCCAUAGAUUCUGGAGGGAGCAUGUUGAUUUUGAACACCUGUCUAAUUGAACUAUGGAAAAUAAAUUUCUGUGUUUUGAAACCACCCAAGUUGUGAUAAUUUGCUGUAAAAACUGCUGAGAACUAAUCCAUACCUUGUCAUGUUCUGUAGAUGUUGUAUUUGAGCAUAGAGAAGUUGGCAACUUUCCAUAGCAUAAAAUGUAGUAAGGGUGGAAGAAGCAGGCAUUGCAGAAUGAUAUUGUUAUGAAGUGAAAGGAAUUAUGUUAAUGUAGCGAUUUCUGUGUUUGCAAAUGCAGGCAAAUUUUUAACUAUUCAAUAAAGCAUGAAUUUCCUAAUACACUGGUUUAAUAUAUUUGGUUGGUUUAGUCUGUGCAUAAGAGUAGAUAGGUCCUGAUAUAAUGCCCUCAAAGCACAUGUUGGAAAAUAAAAUUGGUCAUCAUAGCAGGCUAAAUGGUGCUCUCCUCCAAGAAAAAAAAAGUCUAUAUUAGAGUCUCAGACAAUAUCACAUACUGUGACAGAAGGGUGACUACUACCUUAUAUAACAAAAGAUGUGAUUGAAUUAUGUCUUUUGACAGUAAGGGCUUUUUCGGGAUUCUUGGGGUGGGGUGUAAAUGCAAUCACAGAUAUCCUUAUGAGAGAGAGGCAAAGGAAGUUUAGAGAAGACACACAGAAGAGAAGGCAAUGUGCAGACGGAGGCAGAGAUUGGAGUGAUAUACCUACGAGUUAUAUUCUGGCAGCUACCAAAAAUGGGAAGAGGUAAGGAAUGGAGUCUCUUCCAGGUCACCUAAAGGAACGCAAUCCUGCCAGAUUUUGGACUGUGAACAUCUAGACUCUGUGAGAGGAUAUAUUUAUAUUGAUUUAAUCCACCUAGUAUGGGAUAAAUUAUUAUAGCAACCAUAGGAAACUGAUACAUUCAUAAACAAGAAAAGACAGCAGUUUAACCAGAAAAGCUGGAUAUUAUUUGGUGUAUAAAAGAACAAAGAGGGGCUAGUGCAAAUAAAUUUCUAAUGCAGGCUAUUACAAAAAUUAUGAAUACUCAUCACUUUGAUGAGUAAUUUCACCACAAAAGCACAUGAUAUUUUGGAGUGUAUUCACACUAUGCCAAAUUGUAUAUUUUACAUCCUAUAGUAGAAACAUUUACUCAGCCAAGAAAUAUAAAAUAAAACUCUGUAAUAUUUAUAAAAACUGUUCUAACUCAGAGCAAGCAUAUUAAACUAAAUUACCCAUGUGAAAAUGCAAAACUACAGUUAAACAGUCCCUAAGGUUAAAGCCUGUGUCCUGAAGAAAGAGAAGACCUUUUUAGUCUAAUAAGUAAGGCAAUCUAAGAACAUCCUGUUUGCUUUAUUUUUUUAUUAUAUACAUUUUCAUUUUCCUAAACAAACUUUAUAGUUUUUAUUUUAACAAACAUGGAAUAGCAAGUAAAGAAAAUUUAACUUAUUCAUGGCUUCUGCCAUUGAAUAAUUAGAUUUUUAAUAUCAAUAUUAC
Molecule: long non-coding RNA, 6001 nt
Filed under: Homo sapiens (human)
Lineage: Eukaryota; Metazoa; Chordata; Mammalia; Primates; Hominidae
Description: HSALNT0085800
Source: RNAcentral